AUCUUUUUCUGGUUCACAAACACGAAGAUAGGGUAUUCAUAUAUCUGUGUAACAUGUUCCUCCCUUCAGUCUUGUUAUAACAUUGGUGUAUUAUCUGCCUGAUG
Small nucleolar RNA from Sorex araneus (European shrew), 104 nucleotides. The record is from Ensembl. NCBI's taxonomy places the organism in Eukaryota, Metazoa, Chordata, Mammalia, Eulipotyphla, Soricidae.